This 406-nucleotide ribosomal RNA is filed under the name uncultured bacterium. Its description in RNAcentral is "partial 16S ribosomal RNA". It matches the Rfam family "Bacterial small subunit ribosomal RNA", at positions 30 to 526 of the family's 1533-position model. The record is from RNAcentral.
AUUGAACGCUGGCGGCAGGCCUAACACAUGCAAGUCGAACGAGGGGCGGACGGGUGAGUAAUGUCUGGGAAACUGCCCGAUGGAGGGGGAUAACUACUGGAAACGGUGGCUAAUACCGCAUACCAUCGGAUGUGCCCAGAUGGGAUUAGCUAGUAGGUGGGGUAAUGGCUCACCUAGGCGACGAUCCCUAGCUGGUCUGAGAGGAUGACCAGCCACACUGGAACUGAGACACGUCCCAGACUCCUACGGGAGGCAGCAGUGGGGAAUAUUGCACAAUGGGCGCAAGCCUGAUGCAGCCAUGCCGCGUGUAUGAAGAAGGCCUUAGGGUUGUAAAGUACUUUCAGCGAGGAGGCGUUACCCGCAGAAGAAGCACCGGCUAACUCCGUGCCAGCAGCCGCGGUAAUUC